UACAGAGGCCCCUAGCGUUGUUCGGAUUUACUGGGCGUAAAGGGUACGUAGGCGGCGAGGCGUGUCGGAUGUGAAAUCUCCGGGCUCAACCCGGAAAGUGCGUCCGAAACUACCUUGCUGGAGGCCGGGAGAGGGAAUCGGAAUAUAGGGUGUAGCGGUGAAAUGCGUUGAUAUCCUAUAGAACACCGGAGGCGAAGGCGGAUUCCUGGAACGGUUCUGACGCUAAGGUACGAAAGUCGGGGGAGCAAAC
RNAcentral lists this ribosomal RNA (250 nucleotides) under uncultured prokaryote. RNAcentral's name for it is "partial 16S ribosomal RNA". It matches the Rfam family "Bacterial small subunit ribosomal RNA", at positions 524 to 773 of the family's 1533-position model. The record is from RNAcentral.